UACGGAGGGGGCUAGCGUUGUUCGGAAUCACUGGGCGUAAAGCGCACGUAGGCGGAUCUUUAAGUCAGGGGUGAAAUCCCGAGGCUCAACCUCGGAACUGCCUUUGAUACUGGGGAUCUCGAGUCCGGGAGAGGUGAGUGGAACUCCGAGUGUAGAGGUGAAAUUCAUAGAUAUUCGGAAGAACACCAGUGGCGAAGGCGGCUCACUGGUCCGGUACUGACGCUGAGGUGCGAAAGCGUGGGGAGCAAACAGG
This 253-nucleotide ribosomal RNA is filed under the name uncultured bacterium. RNAcentral describes it as "partial 16S ribosomal RNA". It matches the Rfam family "Bacterial small subunit ribosomal RNA", at positions 524 to 776 of the family's 1533-position model. The record is from RNAcentral.